CAGCAGCCGCGGUAAUACGAAGGGUGCAAGCGUUACUCGGAAUUACUGGGCGUAAAGCGUGUGUAGGUGGUUGUUUAAGUCUGUCGUGAAUGCCCUGGGCUCAACCUGGGAAUUGCGAUGGAUACUGGGCGACUAGAGUGCGGUAGAGGAUAGUGGAAUUUCCGGUGUAGCAGUGAAAUGCGUAGAGAUCGGAAGGAACAUCUGUGGCGAAGGCGACUAUCUGGGCCAACACUGACACUGAGGCACGAAAGCGUGGGGAGCAAACAGGAUUAGAUACCCCAGUAGUCCCUGUCUCUUAUAC
Molecule: ribosomal RNA, 301 nt
Filed under: uncultured bacterium
Lineage: Bacteria
Description: partial 16S ribosomal RNA
Rfam family: Bacterial small subunit ribosomal RNA
Source: RNAcentral